UACGUAGGGAGCAAGCGUUGUUCGGAAUUACUGGGCGUAAAGGGCUCGUAGGUGGCCAACUAAGUCAUACGUGAAAUCCCUCGGCUUAACCGGGGAACUGCGUGUGAUACUGGAUGGCUUGAGUUCGGGAGAGGGAUGCGGAAUUCCAGGUGUAGCGGUGAAAUGCGCAGAUAUCAGGAGGAACACCAAUGGCGAAGGCAGCUCGCUGGAACGGUACUGACGCUGAGGCGCGAAAGCGUGGGGAGCGAACAGG
This 253-nucleotide ribosomal RNA is filed under the name uncultured bacterium. RNAcentral describes it as "partial 16S ribosomal RNA". It matches the Rfam family "Bacterial small subunit ribosomal RNA", at positions 524 to 776 of the family's 1533-position model. The record is from RNAcentral.